GAUGAACGCUGGCGGCGUGCCUAAUACAUGCAAGUCGAGCGAACAGACGAGGAGCUUGCUCCUUUGACGUUAGCGGCGGACGGGUGAGUAACACGUGGGUAACCUACCUAUAAGACUGGGAUAACUUCGGGAAACCGGAGCUAAUACCGGAUAAUAUUUCGAACCGCAUGGUUCGAUAGUGAAAGAGGGUUUUGCUAUCACUUAUAGAUGGACCUGCGCCGUAUUAGCUAGUUGGUAAGGUAACGGCUUACCAAGGCAACGAUACGUAGCCGACCUGAGAGGGUGAUCGGCCACACUGGAACUGAGACACGGUCCAGACUCCUACGGGAGGCAGCAGUAGGGAAUCUUCCGCAAUGGGCGAAAGCCUGACGGAGCAACGCCGCGUGAGUGAUGAAGGUCUUCGGAUCGUAAAACUCUGUUAUUAGGGAAGAACAAACGUGUAAGUAACUGUGCACGUCUUGACGGUACCUAAUCAGAAAGCCACGGCUAACUACGUG
This 497-nucleotide ribosomal RNA is filed under the name uncultured bacterium. RNAcentral's name for it is "partial 16S ribosomal RNA". It matches the Rfam family "Bacterial small subunit ribosomal RNA", at positions 28 to 507 of the family's 1533-position model. The record is from RNAcentral.